This 579-nucleotide ribosomal RNA is filed under the name Triticum aestivum (bread wheat). RNAcentral's name for it is "partial small subunit ribosomal RNA". The record is from RNAcentral. Lineage: Eukaryota; Viridiplantae; Streptophyta; Magnoliopsida; Poales; Poaceae.
AUGGUUGAAUGCUUCAAUAGGGUGCUCAAAGGUGCACGUGGAUUACCCGUGACGGCAAUAGUUCAAUACACAUUUGACAAGAUGAAUGCGUACUUUCUAAAGUACUCGAUGGAAACUGAUGCACAGAUAGCGGGUGAGAACCCACGCAAGUACAAGUACAAGUUCCCACCCAAGGUUGAUGAAUGGUUAGAAUUUCAAUCACGAAAGGCGGACUCAGAAGACGCUAUAUUAUAUGACAACGAAGAGUGGAAGUAUGAAGUGAAAGAGCCAGGAGGAACCACAAACGAUGGCCGGCAACAUGGAGGUCGGGCUUUCAAGGUGUCUUUAACACAAUGUGAUUGCUCUUGCGGGAGGCCAUUGUUGCUUCAUCUCCCAUGCUCACAUUUGUAUACCGUCGGUCGCGUUAGAAAUGUGGACAUCAAUCACCCACGCACCGUGAGGGAGUUGGAGUUCUCAAUCAUGACGGUCAAGAAAACAUGGGCUCCCCGCUUUCACCCAUACUUUGACCAAUCACAAUGGCCGGAGUACCAUGGAGUUCAACUAUGGCCGGAUCCGGAGUUGAAUGUAAACAUGGGGUAG